This 468-nucleotide ribosomal RNA is filed under the name uncultured bacterium. Its description in RNAcentral is "partial 16S ribosomal RNA". It matches the Rfam family "Bacterial small subunit ribosomal RNA", at positions 28 to 507 of the family's 1533-position model. The record is from RNAcentral.
GACGAACGCUGGCGGCGUGCUUAACACAUGCAAGUCGAACGGAAAGGCCCUGCUUUUGUGGGGUGCUCGAGUGGCGAACGGGUGAGUAACACGUGAGUAACCUGCCCUUGACUUUGGGAUAACUUCAGGAAACUGGGGCUAAUACCGGAUAGGAGCUCCUGCUGCAUGGUGGGGGUUGGAAAGUUUCGGCGGUUGGGGAUGGACUCGCGGCUUAUCAGCUUGUUGGUGGGGUAGUGGCUUACCAAGGCUUUGACGGGUAGCCGGCCUGAGAGGGUGACCGGCCACAUUGGGACUGAGAUACGACCCAGACUCCUACAGGAGGCAGCAGUGUCGAAUAUUCCACAAUGGGCGGAAGCCUGAUGCAGCAACGCCGCGUGCGGGAUGACGGCCUUCGGGUUGUAAACCGCUUUCGCCUGUGACGAAGCGUGAGUGACGGUAAUGGGUAAAGAAGCACCGGCUAACUACGUG